RNAcentral lists this ribosomal RNA (305 nucleotides) under uncultured bacterium. RNAcentral describes it as "bacterial SSU rRNA". It matches the Rfam family "Bacterial small subunit ribosomal RNA", at positions 339 to 637 of the family's 1533-position model. The record is from RNAcentral.
CCUCGGGGGGCAGCAGUGGGGAAUCUUCCGCAAUGGGCGAAAGCCUGACGGAGCAACGCCGCGUGAUCGAAUGAAGGCCUUCGGGUUGUAAAGAUCUGUUGACAGGGACGAAUAAGCAAUGCGAAUAGUUUUGUGUAUGACGGUACCUGUUUAGAAAGCUCCGGCUAACUACGUGCCAGCAGCCGCGGUAAUACGUAGGUGGCAAGCGUUGUCCGGAUUUACUGGGUGUAAAGGGCGUGCAGCCGGAGAGACAAGUCAGAUGUGAAAUCCACAGGCUCAACCUGUGAACUGCAUUUGAAACUGUU